AUCUAUACGGUGAAACUGCGAAUGGCUCAUUAAAUCAGUUAUCGUUUAUUUGAUAGUACCUUACUACUUGGAUAACCGUGGUAAUUCUAGAGCUAAUACAUGCUGAAAACCCCGACUUCGGGAGGGGUGUAUUUAUUAGAUAAAAAACCAACGCCCUUCGGGGCUUCUUGGUGAUUCAUGAUAACUUAACGAAUCGCAUGGCCUUGCGCCGGCGAUGGUUCAUUCAAAUUUCUGCCCUAUCAACUUUCGAUGGUAGGAUAGUGGCCUACCAUGGUAUCAACGGGUAACGGGGAAUUAGGGUUCUAUUCCGGAGAGGGAGCCUGAGAAACGGCUACCACAUCCAAGGAAGGCAGCAGGCGCGCAAAUUACCCAAUCCCGACACGGGGAGGUAGUGACAAUAAAUACUGAUACAGGGCUCUUUUGGGUCUUGUAAUUGGAAUGAGUACAAUUUAAAUCCCUUAACGAGGAACAAUUGGAGGGCAAGUCUGGUGCCAGCAGCCGCGGUAAUUCCAGCUCCAAUAGCGUAUAUUAAAGUUGUUGCAGUUAAAAAGCUCGUAGUUGAACCUUGGGCCUGGCUGGCCGGUCCGCCUCACCGCGUGCACUGGUCCGGCCGGGCCUUUCCUUCUGGGGAGCCGCAUGCCCUUCACUGGGUGUGUCGGGGAACCAGGACUUUUACUUUGAAAAAAUUAGAGUGUUCAAAGCAGGCCUUUGCUCGGAUACAUUAGCAUGGAAUAAUAGAAUAGGACGUGCGGUCCUAUUUUGUUGGUUUCUAGGACCGCCGUAAUGAUUAAUAGGGAUAGUCGGGGGCAUCAGUAUUCAAUUGUCAGAGGUGAAAUUCUUGGAUUUAUUGAAGACUAACUACUGCGAAAGCAUUUGCCAAGGAUGUUUUCAUUAAUCAGUGAACGAAAGUUAGGGGAUCGAAGACGAUCAGAUACCGUCGUAGUCUUAACCGUAAACUAUGCCGACUAGGGAUCGGGCGAUGUUAUCAUUUUGACUCGCUCGGCACCUUACGAGAAAUCAAAGUCU
RNAcentral lists this ribosomal RNA (1026 nucleotides) under Cenococcum geophilum. RNAcentral describes it as "SSU rRNA". It matches the Rfam family "Eukaryotic small subunit ribosomal RNA", at positions 72 to 1106 of the family's 1831-position model. Lineage: Eukaryota; Fungi; Ascomycota; Dothideomycetes; Gloniales; Gloniaceae. The record is from RNAcentral.